Molecule: unclassified non-coding RNA, 3001 nt
Filed under: Anthonomus grandis grandis
Lineage: Eukaryota; Metazoa; Arthropoda; Insecta; Coleoptera; Curculionidae
Description: nEDD4-binding protein 2
Source: RNAcentral
AUAAUAUCCAAAGUAGGGAUUUAGUUUUUGAAGUGCGUAGUUUGUAUCGCAAAUCUCAAGUUCAAUUUAUCUGUUAUUUUGCAGUGGGUACGAAUAGGGUGUGAAAUCAUGACCUCAAAUAUUUCUGUAUGCAACCAAAUAGGCAAAGACCGAGUUGUAGUGCAGCAGCUGAAUGAGAUGUUUGGUAAUAAGCUAAAUCUCAGUUUGAUUGAGGAGGUUGCAAAGUCUUGUCAGUUUGAUGUGAAUCAAUCAUCUAAUGAGCUCCUGGAAAUUACAAACCGUAAUCAUGUAGUUUCUAAUACUACCAAUAUUGUUAGGAUAUCUAAAUCAUCACAAAAUAGCCCUAAUAAAACUAGAAAAGCUACAGAGCAGGAAAGGAUUAUAAAAGAAAUCAACAAUGGAUAUAAAGUGCUUAUUAUCUUACGGGGAUUACCAGGUUCUGGGAAAACUACACUAGCAAAAAAGAUUUUAUCAAUGACCAUAGGUUACAAUGAUUCAACGGCUGAAACACAUAUUUUAUCCACUGACGAUUAUUUUGUUAAGAAAGGGGUUUACUUAUAUGAUCCUAGAAAAUUGUCAGAGGCUCAUGGAUGGAAUCAUAAUAGAGCUUUUCAAAUUAUGUCAAAAGGAUUCAGUCCUGUUAUAAUUGAUAAUACCAACACUCAGAUGUGGGAAAUGAAACCAUAUGCUGCCAUGGCUACUGAUUACGGAUAUAUUUUGGAAAUUUUAGAGCCGGAUACUCACUGGUGUUUUAACGAAAAGGAACUUGGCAAACGAAAUGUACACAAUAUACCAAAAAGUUCAAUAAGAAAUAUGAUGGACAGGUAUGAAAAAAACGUGACUCCAGCAAAACUGUUAAAUUCUUACGGAUGCAAGUAUAAGCUUCAGAAACCUCCACAAUUUCGACUGCACCCGCCACUCCAACAAGUAACCACCAAUCGUAUGUUUUCUGAACCUUUUAAUGGCCUAGCUAAACCAAACACCGAACAUUAUUUGGAAAACAAGCAUUCAUCAUCAAAGUACGCGCGUAUCGAUAAGCAAAAUGGACAAGCGUCAAAACAUGGGGUGGAAGUUUUUGAUAUGUUUUCCGGAUCAGAAGCAUCAAUAUCCAAAAAUUUAGUCGACAAUGAAGUUGAUGUUCACGAGGUUCAAAGUUCUUCUGUUGAUGACAUAUUGAUGAGUAAUGAUACAUCGGUUUUGAGUGCACCCGUACUAAAACCGGUUCAGACGUGCAAGAUUAAACAAAGCAUGAGUUUAUUUGACAACAUUAGUGCAUGGGGUAUCGAUGCCAACGCUCUUCGCUCUUGGGAUAUAGUAAUUCCAUUGGAGGACAAUAAAUCCACUGUUCUUAAUCAGCCUAUAGUAAUAGACGAUGAUGACGUAAUCAUAGAAACAACUGAAGCAAGCACAAUGACGGACGAAACAUAUUUUAAUAUAAGCAAAAAUAUUUCAGUAAUUCCGCCUCCUUGUGACAUAAAGAUAUUAACUACAUGUAACCGAGAUAUUAAUAGAAAAGUCCCACCAAAGCCACCGGGUAUCAGGAAGAAAAUUAUGAUUGAUAAAAGUUGCAACACCGAAGAAAUCUAUGCUCCCAGCAUUGAUGUAGAUCAUUUGGUUAACGUAUUUCCAAAUAUCAACAAAAAAUCAAUUCAGUAUUGGUAUGAAAUGUGUAACAGAGAUUUUGAAUCCACAAUGGAGCUGCUACUUUUGGAGAAAGAUGAAAUCGCUAAUAUUGACAUAGACGAUCUUCCAAAGGAGCCUCAAAAUAUUCGAGAAGUUGUCACAGUCGAUAGUGAUAGUAGCUCUAGUAAUGAAGAAAAACAUUGGACACAAAAGCGGUCCCAGAAACAGAAACGGAAAACACACAAUUCCGGUAAGUCACAAGAUUUAAAAAAGCAAUUAGAGAGCAAGUUUACUAUUAGUGAUGACUAUUACUCCGAAAAAUUACUUCAAGUCAAAUCAAGGCAAUCCGAUGCACAAUUUUCAUCAGUUGGAUUUGCUUUACAAACUUCUGAAUCCGCAAAAUCUGUAGCUUCAAAGAUGGAUGUGGAUGAAACUAAUGAAGAUAGCGUUGACUCCGACGAUGUCGAUUCUUGUUCAUCAUCCAAGGAUGAACCAGUUGAAGAUAUUCAGACAGUGGAGCUUAAUUUUGGGGAUCACUUUGUCAAACAACUAGAAAAUAUUUUUGGUGAUCUCAAUCUUAUUUAUCCAAAAGGUUUCUUACCAGUGGUACAGCUACCUAAAACGCUAGCAAGACAGAUCUACGCAUUUUAUAUAGAAUCAGUUUAUCAACAAGUUGAGACACAAAACGCUGUUAUGGCUGAUCUUUUGAAAGAAGAUGAAGAGUUUGCCAAGAAGUUGCAGGAAGAUGAAAAUAAUGGCACACAUACUUCUCAAUCGAAUCAGGAACCAAUAACAAUUCCGGAAAUAAUAAAGGAGCAAAAGGAAUUGAGUAAGGCGCAAAGAGAGGCAGACAAAUGGAAAGACGAGACACCAGAUACAUUAGCGGCAAGACUUACAAGAGAAAAAUUGUUUAACUCAUUUCCGAACCUUGAUAGAGAUACUUUGGUUGAAGUUUUGCAUGCUCAUCAAAAUAUAUACAGCGAUACGUUAGAGACACUACUUGAAAGUACUGGAACGCAUAACAUUAGAAGCGAUUUGGAGUUAAUUAAACAUCCGCCUAUAGAAAAAGAGGUACUUGAUGAGAUGUGGGAGGAUCAUCACAAUAGUGCCAAUCAAGUUGCGAAACUUAUCCGCGCACUUGUCAAGUCACCCUGUACAGUAUGAGUUUCAAACAUAGCAAUUCUAUCAAAUCUUUUUUCCCGCAGAUCACCAAGACUAGAAAUGAAUGAGCAGGAAACCGAAGAUGCACCCCGCUCAGCGAGUAAUUUAAGGGCCGAGGCGAAUGGAUACUUAGAAAAAAGAACACGCCUAUACGAAAAAGCCAAAAAAUAUCAUCAAACAGGUAUGCGGGAGGUAGCACAAUUCUACAGUUUCUUAG